RNAcentral lists this transfer RNA (73 nucleotides) under Leptolinea sp. HRD-7. RNAcentral describes it as "tRNA-Lys". It matches the Rfam family "tRNA". From Rfam's summary of the family: Transfer RNA (tRNA) molecules are approximately 80 nucleotides in length. Lineage: Bacteria; Bacillati; Chloroflexota; Anaerolineae; Anaerolineales; Anaerolineaceae. The record is from RNAcentral. RNAcentral also lists the same sequence under 1 other name.
GGGCGCGUAGCUCAAUGGUAGAGCAGUGGCCUUUUAAGCCAUUGGUUAAGGGUUCGAGCCCCUUCGCGCUCAC